UGAAUACGAGAUGCUACGGCGUCGAAGCAGUCUAUGUCAUACUUCCGAGAAAAGCUUGCACUGUCAUAAACAAAUAAUGCCUGUACCAUAACCGACACAGGUGGGUAGGUAGAGUAUACUAAGGGGCGCGAGAUAACUCUCUCUAAGGAACUCGGCAAAAUGACUCCGUAACUUCGGGAGAAGGAGUGCCUUAUUUAUAAGGUUGCAAUAACAAGAUCCAAGCAACUGUUUACCAAAAACACAGGUCUCCGCUAAGUCGUAAGACGAUGUAUGGGGGCUGACGCCUGCCCAGUGCCAGAAGGUUAAAGAAGUUGGUUAGCAUCCGCGAAGCUGAUAACUGAAGCCCUGGUGAACGGCGGCCGUAACAAUAACGGUCCUAAGGUAGCGAAAUUCCUUGUCGGGUAAGUUCCGACCCGCACGAAAGGCGUAAUGAUUUGGAUACUGUCUCGGAGAGGGGCUCGGUGAAAUAGACUUGUCUGUGAAGAUGCGGACUACCUGCACCAGGACAGAAAGACCCUAUGAAGCUUUACUGUAACCUGAAAUUGAAAUUGGACUUUACUUGCGCAGUAUAGGUGGGAGGCGUUGAGAAUAUUCUUGCGGGAUUAUUGGAGCCAUCAGUGAGAUACCACUCUUGUAAUGUUAGAUUUCUAACUUUGUAUCAUUAUCUGGUCAAAGAACAGUUUCAGGCGGGCAGUUUGACUGGGGCGGUCGCCUCCUAAACGGUAACGGAGGCGCACAAAGGUUUCCUCUGAACGGGUAGAAAUCGUAUCUAGAGUGUAAAGGCAUAAGGAAGCUUGACUGUGAGACCUACAAGUCGAGCAGGGACGAAAGUCGGUCUUAGUGAUCUGACGGUGCUGAGUGGAAAGGCCGUCACUCAACGGAUAAAAGUUACUCUAGGAUAACAGGCUGAUCUCCCCCAAGAGUUCACAUCGACGGGGAGGUUUGGCACCUCGAUGUCGGCUCAUCGCAUCCUGGGGCGGUAGUACGUCCCAAGGGUUGGGCUGUUCGCCCAUGAAAGCGGUACGCGAGCUGGGUUCAGAACGUCGUGAGACAGUUCGGUCCAUAUCCGGUGUAGGCGUUAGAAUAUUGAGAGGAGCCUUCUUUAGUACGAGAGGACCGAGAAGGACAUACCUCUGGUGUACCAGUUAUCGUGCCAACGGUAAACGCUGGGUAGCUAUGCGUGGAGUGGAUAACCGCUGAAAGCAUCUAAGUGGGAAGCCCACCUCAAGAUAAG
Molecule: ribosomal RNA, 1234 nt
Filed under: metagenome
Description: bacterial LSU rRNA
Rfam family: Bacterial large subunit ribosomal RNA
Source: RNAcentral